RNAcentral lists this long non-coding RNA (998 nucleotides) under Canis lupus familiaris (dog). Its description in RNAcentral is "lncRNA (ENSCAFG00000059133.1)". Lineage: Eukaryota; Metazoa; Chordata; Mammalia; Carnivora; Canidae. The record is from RNAcentral.
GGGGGCCGAGGCGGGGAAACCGCGGGGGGGAGGAGACCCGAGGCGCAGCGAGUGGCGCCGGAGGGGAGGGGCUGGCGGCCUCCCGCUGCCCACCUGGGCUCGCGCCCCUCUGCGGCGCCCGCUCUUCAGCUGCCUGGGACCCAGAUUACCCGUGUUAGCUCCCACCCCCUCCAUUUCGAAACAGCCUCGCGCGGGGGGGUGGGGGGCCGUGUGUGUGCCAUUAUUGCUCCCUGAAAUUUGCAGACCCGAGAGGAAAGCGAUUCGCAGCGUCGCUCGUAUUUGAAUCGAAACCCAGAGCAAUUUGGGAAGAAACUCGGGGCACAUUUGCAAAAGGACAGCUAGCUUGAAAAGCCGAGGCCAGAGCAGGCUGCUCACCAAGGCCGCUCCGCGCCCACCCCACCCCUGCUCGCCGCCUCUCGUAAAUCACUAGGGGCACAGUCCUUGCAUUGGUGACUUUUGAACAAGCCCCUCCUCGGCAACCAAAGUUCGUUCCGAGUAUGAGGGGGGAAAGAGGGGUGGGGGAGGGACAUUUGGAACGCAGGAGAAAUGCAGUCCGAUCGGAAUCGCCAGACAAGCACCAAAAAAAGCGUGUGGAUUCCCCUUCUGCAAGGUCUCGCUGCGCCCACAUCUCGGAAGAAACGAAGAGGAAAACAGAAGAGCCCUCGCAGUUAAAACCCAGCCAUUUCCAGACUCACCCAGCAAUUCCAAAGCCUUUUGAUCAAACCAGUCACAGUGUGAUGUCAUCUCCACGGAGGCUCUGCCCCAUACAAGUUUCAGGUUCCACUGGAGCUGCCAGCACAGAGGAAGGAAUUCAGUAAUGGAACUCACCCACAACUAACCAUUCAUGUAGAGAAAACUGCUCCUUUACAAGAAUGAAGAAUGAGAUUUUGUGCAGUACGAGAACAGGUCUGACUUCAGAGAUUCAUGGUAAGAUCUGUAGCAGUUCAUUCUAUAAAUAUGUUGCAUUCAUACCUAUUCAAUUCCAUAAAGACAAAAGG